GUCUCCGUGGCGCAAUUGGCUAGCGCGAUCGGCUGUUAACCGAAAGGUGGAGGUUCGAGCCCUCCCGGAGGUG
RNAcentral lists this transfer RNA (73 nucleotides) under Rhipicephalus microplus (southern cattle tick). RNAcentral describes it as "tRNA-Asn". It matches the Rfam family "tRNA". Rfam says of the family: Transfer RNA (tRNA) molecules are approximately 80 nucleotides in length. The record is from Rfam by way of RNAcentral. Lineage: Eukaryota; Metazoa; Arthropoda; Arachnida; Ixodida; Ixodidae.